GUGGGGAAUAUUGGACAAUGGGGGCAACCCUGAUCCAGCCAUGCCGCGUGAGUGAUGAAGGCCUUCGGGUUGUAAAGCUCUUUUGGCGGGGACGAUGAUGACGGUACCCGCAGAAUAAGCCCCGGCUAACUUCGUGCCAGCAGCCGCGGUAAGACGAAGGGGGCUAGCGUUGUUCGGAAUUACUGGGCGUAAAGCGAGUGUAGGUGGUUGUCAUAGUCAGGUGUGAAAGCCUUGAGCUCAACUCAAGAAAUGCACUUGAUACUGGGCGACUAGAGGACCGGAGAGGAUAGUGGAAUUCCCAGUGUAGUGGUGAAAUACGUAGAGAUUGGGAAGAACACCAGUGGCGAAGGCGGCUAUCUGGACGGUUACUGACACUAAGACUCGAAAGCGUGGGGAGCAAACAGGAUUAGAAACCCUAGUAGUCC
RNAcentral lists this ribosomal RNA (425 nucleotides) under uncultured bacterium. RNAcentral's name for it is "partial 16S ribosomal RNA". It matches the Rfam family "Bacterial small subunit ribosomal RNA", at positions 354 to 796 of the family's 1533-position model. The record is from RNAcentral.